This is a transfer RNA of Calocera viscosa, 87 nucleotides long. It matches the Rfam family "tRNA". Rfam says of the family: Transfer RNA (tRNA) molecules are approximately 80 nucleotides in length. Their secondary structure includes four short double-helical elements and three loops (D, anti-codon, and T loops). Further hydrogen bonds mediate the characteristic L-shaped molecular structure. tRNAs have two regions of fundamental functional importance: the anti-codon, which is responsible for specific mRNA codon recognition, and the 3' end, to which the tRNAs corresponding amino acid is attached (by aminoacyl-tRNA synthetases). tRNAs cope with the degeneracy of the genetic code in two manners: having more than one tRNA (with a specific anti-codon) for a particular amino acid; and 'wobble' base-pairing, i.e. permitting non-standard base-pairing at the 3rd anti-codon position. The record is from Rfam. Lineage: Eukaryota; Fungi; Basidiomycota; Dacrymycetes; Dacrymycetales; Dacrymycetaceae.
CUCUGCUUAGCUCAGUUGGAAGAGCGCAAGACUGUAAUGGCUCACGGAAUCAUCUUGAGGUCGCUAGUUCGAACCUGGCAGCAGAGA